UAAACGGCCCUUUUCAGGGCCACCAAUAAGUCUUUACCAAAGGAAU
Regulatory RNA element from Melipona quadrifasciata, 46 nucleotides. It matches the Rfam family "Histone 3' UTR stem-loop". From Rfam's summary of the family: The mRNAs of metazoan histone genes lack a poly-A tail. Lineage: Eukaryota; Metazoa; Arthropoda; Insecta; Hymenoptera; Apidae. The record is from Rfam.